GACGAACGCUGGCGGCGUGCCUAAUACAUGCAAGUAGAACGCUGAAGGAAGGAGCUUGCUCUUUCUGGAUGAGUUGCGAACGGGUGAGUAACGCGUAGGUAACCUGCCUGGUAGCGGGGGAUAACUAUUGGAAACGAUAGCUAAUACCGCAUAAAAUUGAUUAUUGCAUGAUAGUCAAUUAAAAGGUGCAACUGCACCACUACCAGAUGGACCUGCGUCGUAUUAGCUAGUUGGUGGGGUAACGGCUCACCAAGGCGACGAUACAUAGCCGACCUGAGAGGGUGAUCGGCCACACUGGGACUGAGACACGGCCCAGACUCCUACGGGAGGCAGCAGUAGGGAAUCUUCGGCAAUGGACGGAAGUCCGACCGAGCAACGCCGCGUGAGUGAAGAAGGUUUUCGGAUCGUAAAGCUCUGUUGUAAGAGAAGAACGAGUGUGAGAGUGGAAAGUUCACACUGUGACGGUAUCUUACCAGAAAGGGACGGCUAACUACGUG
RNAcentral lists this ribosomal RNA (497 nucleotides) under uncultured bacterium. Its description in RNAcentral is "partial 16S ribosomal RNA". It matches the Rfam family "Bacterial small subunit ribosomal RNA", at positions 28 to 507 of the family's 1533-position model. The record is from RNAcentral.